RNAcentral lists this ribosomal RNA (875 nucleotides) under Pseudomonas sp. S71(2010). Its description in RNAcentral is "bacterial SSU rRNA". It matches the Rfam family "Bacterial small subunit ribosomal RNA", at positions 29 to 887 of the family's 1533-position model. The record is from RNAcentral. Lineage: Bacteria; Pseudomonadati; Pseudomonadota; Gammaproteobacteria; Pseudomonadales; Pseudomonadaceae.
AAUUAUGAUUGGCGCGUGCUAUACAUGCAAGUCGAGCGGACAGAUGGGAGCUUGCUCCCUGAUGUUAGCGGCGGACGGGUGAGUAACACGUGGGUAACCUGCCUGUAAGACUGGGAUAACUCCGGGAAACCGGGGCUAAUACCGGAUGGUUGUUUGAACCGCAUGGUUCAAACAUAAAAGGUGGCUUCGGCUACCACUUACAGAUGGACCCGCGGCGCAUUAGCUAGUUGGUGAGGUAACGGCUCACCAAGGCAACGAUGCGUAGCCGACCUGAGAGGGUGAUCGGCCACACUGGGACUGAGACACGGCCCAGACUCCUACGGGAGGCAGCAGUAGGGAAUCUUCCGCAAUGGACGAAAGUCUGACGGAGCAACGCCGCGUGAGUGAUGAAGGUUUUCGGAUCGUAAAGCUCUGUUGUUAGGGAAGAACAAGUACCGUUCGAAUAGGGCGGUACCUUGACGGUACCUAACCAGAAAGCCACGGCUAACUACGUGCCAGCAGCCGCGGUAAUACGUAGGUGGCAAGCGUUGUCCGGAAUUAUUGGGCGUAAAGGGCUCGCAGGCGGUUUCUUAAGUCUGAUGUGAAAGCCCCCGGCUCAACCGGGGAGGGUCAUUGGAAACUGGGGAACUUGAGUGCAGAAGAGGAGAGUGGAAUUCCACGUGUAGCGGUGAAAUGCGUAGAGAUGUGGAGGAACACCAGUGGCGAAGGCGACUCUCUGGUCUGUAACUGACGCUGAGGAGCGAAAGCGUGGGGAGCGAACAGGAUUAGAUACCCUGGUAGUCCACGCCGUAAACGAUGAGUGCUAAGUGUUAGGGGGUUUCCGCCCCUUAGUGCUGCAGCUAACGCAUUAAGCACUCCGCCUGGGGAGUACGGUC